This 85-nucleotide transfer RNA is filed under the name Felis catus (domestic cat). It matches the Rfam family "tRNA". From Rfam's summary of the family: Transfer RNA (tRNA) molecules are approximately 80 nucleotides in length. The record is from Rfam by way of RNAcentral. Lineage: Eukaryota; Metazoa; Chordata; Mammalia; Carnivora; Felidae.
ACCUGGGUGGCUCAGUCGGUUGAGCAUCUGACUUUGGCUCAGGUCAUGAUCUCACAGUUUGUGGGUUCAAGCCCCACAUCAGGCU